CCAAUAGCGUAUAUUAAAGUUGUUGCAGUUAAAAAGCUCGUAGUUGAAUUUCGGGGUUAGUAGGUUGGUCAUGCCUCUGGUAUGUACUGGUCUCACUGAUUCCUCCUUCCUGAUGAGCCGUAAUGCCAUUAAUUUGGUGUUGCGGGGAAUUUGGACUGUUACUUUGAAAAAAUUAGAGUGUUUAAAGCAAGCUAACGCUUGAAUACAUUAGCAUGGAAUAAUGAAAUAGGACGUUCGAUCCUAUUUUGUUGGUUUCUAGGAUUGACGUAAUGAUUAAUAGGGAUAGUUGGGGGCAUUAGUAUUCAAUUGUCAGAGGUGAAAUUCUUGGAUUUAUUGAAGACUAACUACUGCGAAAGCAUUUGCCAAGGAUGUUUUCAUGAAUCAAGAACGAAAGUUAGGGGAUCGAAGACGAUCAGAUAGCGUCGUAGUCUUAACCAUAAACUAUGCCGACUAGGGAUCGGAUGAUGUUAAUUUUUUAAUGACUCAUUCGGCGCCUUACG
This 500-nucleotide ribosomal RNA is filed under the name uncultured Glomeromycotina. Its description in RNAcentral is "partial small subunit ribosomal RNA". It matches the Rfam family "Eukaryotic small subunit ribosomal RNA", at positions 591 to 1092 of the family's 1831-position model. The record is from RNAcentral. Lineage: Eukaryota; Fungi; Glomeromycota.